This is a long non-coding RNA of Apis mellifera (honey bee), 885 nucleotides long. RefSeq lists it as uncharacterized. Lineage: Eukaryota; Metazoa; Arthropoda; Insecta; Hymenoptera; Apidae. The transcript has 3 exons. The record is from RefSeq and is a predicted model, not a curated record.
UUAAUGGAGAUAUAUAUAUAUUAUUUUCCAUCCAUUUUUUCUUCCAAAAAGAAAAAACUCCAUCAAGAGUAAAAAAAAGGCACGUAUCACGACGAACUUUUCUUUCCUUCUUCAUCUGGUUCUUAACUUCUUCCCAAAAAAUCCGCUGCUCUUUUUUUCCAGAUGAAUUCCCUCGAGCAACGUCACUUUAAUUCCAUAUACGACCACCAUCGUUCAAACUUCAUUCAAACUCCUCCAACCAGAAAAAAAAAAGUGUUCAAGUCAACUCCAAUUGACCGAAAGGAUCAAGCCUGGGCUUAAGGAAGAUUUGGUGAAGUAGAAAGUAUAGGUAGCCAGCUAUAAAUCAGGCCCAUGGAAGGAUUACGUGAACGUUGUUGGCAAUGAUGGCGCGUACCCCGCCGAAUUCCCCGGUCAGUAAAUGUCAUCGUAAAAAUAUAAUCGCGCUAAUGAUAAGCAAAUGGAAUACAAAACGCAGGUACAUGGAGGCUAACGAUCGUCAAAAGUCAGGAAGCUCGGUCGUAAAUUCGUCUAAGACAUUUAUAGACGGACACCUCGCGGCCGGAAAUUCUUCCUAGACUCUCUAGCCGAGAGGAGGUCUUUGCGACCAGACCUAACCUAAUCUCACGAGUGAUCGUUAAUUUGACAACAGAGUUUCUCGAACUGUGUAAGAAUUGGAUCGUAACGUCCAGGCCUGUCUCGUUAAUUGUUUGAACGAUUUAUCGAGUUGGUUGGACAAUGGUAAGAUUGUACCAAAGGUUACUUGGCUGCGAUCCAAAUACUGAUCCUAAAAGCUGUCUUGGAACGUACUGAUUCCAUGAUUAUUUGGCACAAAGAAAGUGGUCUUGGUUAUGGUUUUUUUUUCAUUUAAAGAAGAAAGGAAGAAAA